Small nuclear RNA from Grammomys surdaster, 105 nucleotides. The record is from RefSeq and is a predicted model, not a curated record. Lineage: Eukaryota; Metazoa; Chordata; Mammalia; Rodentia; Muridae.
UAGCCCAUUGACAGCAUGCACACUAAAAUUAGGACAAUUCAGAGGAGAUUCACAUGGUCCCUGUGCAAGGAUGGCAGGAACAUCUAGGAAGCUGUCCAUAUUUUU